UUACCCACAUGUAUGGGGGGGACAGGAGACCUCCGGGUUCCACCUGGGGUCUGACCUGGGGUCCUUCAUGCAUCCCUCCAUCCGUUAUCCGCCCCCCAUGCUUCUGGGGCCUCAUCUGCACCUGGUUCCGUGUGGGGUAUGGGGGUAACAGGACAGGCACGACGGGAAGAAGGACUCCAGGCACGAGCAGGCAGAGGCGCCGUGUCGCAGGGAUUGCCAGGCGUGCAGAAGCCGGAGGCGACUCCGUUCAGCUCCUUCAGGUGAUUCAAAGGCAAACACGGCCACCGCCUUCGGGGUCGGUGAGACGCUGCGCGCUUUCGGUGUCGGGGCGGCCGGGACUGCGUGACAGGGGCAAGAAGGAACACGCACCCAGGAGGUGACACCAGCUGACGGAGGCGUGUGUGGAGCCGCGCCCCCCCCACGUCCCGCGGCACCCCCUGUGUGCCCGGCCCCUCCUGCUUCAGCAGCCCUCACGGGAAGGCCCCCCAGCAGGGGCUCGCCCCGCGGCCCUCAGGCGGUCAGGCAGUUGGCGCCCUGGCUUCCUUGGCUCCAGACCACGGCGGAGGUGAUCCCCAGAGGUGAUGCGGGCCCCGCAGCCCACAGCGGACAGCGAAUAGCAAAACGGGUGUUUUUGGAGACCCUGGAGAGCAGGGGAGGCGGGAGUGGUGUCCCAGCCGCUGCCUGCGCGCCCUCCUCCCCGGGUGCAUGGCAGGAGGGACAGCAGGGCCACCUGCGCUCCCGUGAGCUAGGCUGACGGAGGAGACCUGAAGAACCCGGAGCACCACGGAGCCCCGAUGAGCACGCCCGUUUCUGAGGCCAGAAAUCGCGAUUCCCCCGAGGCCCCCGCGCUGUGAGCUCACAGUGUGUCCAGCGGUCACACUGCUGUCAUUCCAGCAGCCACGGUCUUGCCAUGCCGGGCCCCGUGACCCCCUCCCCGGUGUCCCCCUCAGCCCCGCGCUGCCCCCUCCCCAGCGUCCCCCUCGGGCCCCACUGCCCCCUCCUGGGCGUCCCCCACACGCUAAAUGAAGCACCGCGGUCUGAGGGGAGACAAAGAGGAGUGGCCGCCAGCAGAUGAGGACCCUCUGGCAUGUGGGGGAGGGGUGCCCUGUCCAAGGUCACGGGGAAGGACGGGCAGCCCCUGGGAGACUUGCUUCCUGCUCCGGAGACCCUGCUGUCUGGGCUUAUCUUUCCGUGUAACCUUGGGGCUUAAAAGUAAUUGGAAAUUGA
This is a long non-coding RNA of Suricata suricatta (meerkat), 1227 nucleotides long. RefSeq lists it as uncharacterized. NCBI's taxonomy places the organism in Eukaryota, Metazoa, Chordata, Mammalia, Carnivora, Herpestidae. The transcript has 2 exons. The record is from RefSeq and is a predicted model, not a curated record.